CAGCAGCCGCGGUAAUACGUAGGGUGCGAGCGUUAAUCGGAAUUACUGGGCGUAAAGCGUGCGCAGGCGGUUGUGUAAGACAGGUGUGAAAUCCCCGGGCUUAACCUGGGAACUGCGCUUGUGACUGCACAGCUAGAGUAUGGCAGAGGGGGGUGGAAUUCCACGUGUAGCAGUGAAAUGCGUAGAGAUGUGGAGGAACACCGAUGGCGAAGGCAGCCCCCUGGGCCAAUACUGACGCUCAUGCACGAAAGCGUGGGGAGCAAACAGGAUUAGGUACCCGUGUAGUCCCUGUCUCUUAUAC
RNAcentral lists this ribosomal RNA (301 nucleotides) under uncultured bacterium. RNAcentral describes it as "partial 16S ribosomal RNA". It matches the Rfam family "Bacterial small subunit ribosomal RNA", at positions 509 to 807 of the family's 1533-position model. The record is from RNAcentral.